GACGAACGCUGGCGGCGUGCUUAACACAUGCAAGUCGAACGGAAAGGCCCUGCUUUUGUGGGGUGCUCGAGUGGCGAACGGGUGAGUAACACGUGAGUAACCUGCCCUUGACUUUGGGAUAACUUCAGGAAACUGGGGCUAAUACCGGAUAGGAGCUCCUGCUGCAUGGUGGGGGUUGGAAAGUUUCGGCGGUUGGGGAUGGACUCGCGGCUUAUCAGCUUGUUGGUGGGGUAGUGGCUUACCAAGGCUUUGACGGGUAGCCGGCCUGGGAGGGUGACCGGCCACAUUGGGACUGAGGUACGGCGCAGACUCCUACGGGAGGCAGCAGUGGGGAAUAUGGCAGAAUGGGCGGAAGCCUGAUGCAGCAGCGCCGCGUGCGGGAUGACGGCCUUCGGGUUGUAAACCACUUUCUCCUGUGACGAAGCGUGAGUGACGGUAAUGGGUAAGGAAGCACCGGCUAACUACGUG
This 468-nucleotide ribosomal RNA is filed under the name uncultured bacterium. Its description in RNAcentral is "partial 16S ribosomal RNA". It matches the Rfam family "Bacterial small subunit ribosomal RNA", at positions 28 to 507 of the family's 1533-position model. The record is from RNAcentral.